This 763-nucleotide ribosomal RNA is filed under the name Bacillus sp. (in: firmicutes). RNAcentral's name for it is "bacterial SSU rRNA". It matches the Rfam family "Bacterial small subunit ribosomal RNA", at positions 83 to 832 of the family's 1533-position model. Lineage: Bacteria; Bacillati; Bacillota; Bacilli; Caryophanales; Bacillaceae. The record is from RNAcentral.
UCCCGGAUGUUAGCGGCGGACGGGUGAGUAACACGUGGGUAACCUGCCUGUAAGACUGGGAUAACUCCGGGAAACCGGAGCUAAUACCGGAUAGUUCCUUGAACCGCAUGGUUCAAGGAUGAAAGACGGUUUCGGCUGUCACUUACAGAUGGACCCGCGGCGCAUUAGCUAGUUGGUGAGGUAACGGCUCACCAAGGCGACGAUGCGUAGCCGACCUGAGAGGGUGAUCGGCCACACUGGGACUGAGACACGGCCCAGACUCCUACGGGAGGCAGCAGUAGGGAAUCUUCCGCAAUGGACGAAAGUCUGACGGAGCAACGCCGCGUGAGUGAUGAAGGUUUUCGGAUCGUAAAGCUCUGUUGUUAGGGAAGAACAAGUGCAAGAGUAACUGCUUGCACCUUGACGGUACCUAACCAGAAAGCCACGGCUAACUACGUGCCAGCAGCCGCGGUAAUACGUAGGUGGCAAGCGUUGUCCGGAAUUAUUGGGCGUAAAGGGCUCGCAGGCGGUUUCUUAAGUCUGAUGUGAAAGCCCCCGGCUCAACCGGGGAGGGUCAUUGGAAACUGGGAAACUUGAGUGCAGAAGAGGAGAGUGGAAUUCCACGUGUAGCGGUGAAAUGCGUAGAGAUGUGGAGGAACACCAGUGGCGAAGGCGACUCUCUGGUCUGUAACUGACGCUGAGGAGCGAAAGCGUGGGGAGCGAACAGGAUUAGAUACCCUGGUAGUCCACGCCGUAAACGAUGAGUGCUAAGUGUUAGGGGGUU